UACGUAGGGGGCAAGCGUUGUCCGGAAUCAUUGGGCGUAAAGAGCGUGUAGGCGGCUAGGUAGGUCCGUUGUGAAAACUCGAGGCUCAACCUCGAGACGCCGAUGGAAACCAUCUAGCUAGAGUCCGGAAGAGGAGAGUGGAAUUCCUGGUGUAGCGGUGAAAUGCGCAGAUAUCAGGAAGAACACCCGUGGCUAAGGCGGCUCUCUAGUACGGUACUGACGCUGAGACGCGAAAGCGUGGGGAGCGAACAGG
This 253-nucleotide ribosomal RNA is filed under the name uncultured bacterium. RNAcentral's name for it is "partial 16S ribosomal RNA". It matches the Rfam family "Bacterial small subunit ribosomal RNA", at positions 524 to 776 of the family's 1533-position model. The record is from RNAcentral.